This 238-nucleotide ribosomal RNA is filed under the name uncultured bacterium. Its description in RNAcentral is "partial 16S ribosomal RNA". It matches the Rfam family "Bacterial small subunit ribosomal RNA", at positions 333 to 563 of the family's 1533-position model. The record is from RNAcentral.
UAGGGCCUACGGGACGCAGCAGUAGGGAAUCUUCCACAAUGGGCGAAAGCCUGAUGGAGCAACGCCGCGUGGGUGAAGAAGGUCUUCGGAUCGUAAAACCCGGUUGUUAGAGAAGAAAGUGCGUGAGAGUAACUGUUCACGUUUCGACGGUAUCUAACCAGAAAGCCACGGCUAACUGCGUGCCAGCAGCCGCGGUAAUACGUAGGUGGCAAGCGUUAUCCGGAUUUAUUGGGCGUAA